ACAUAGACAACUGGCAGACCAAUUAAUAAUGUGAAAACUGUCUUUGCUGUGUCUCCCAUUUUCUUUUGCUGUGAAUUUCCAAACAUACUUGUUUAUUUUAACCCUUUAAUUGGCAGAAUCUAAAGGGAUUAUAAACAUACGCAAUUAAAAGGUACAAUGAUAUAAGGAAGACUCCAAAUUAACUCAAGUAAAAGAAUCCAUAUCUCUGAAAGAGAAUCUAGUGGUGAUUGCACUCUCGAUAAGAAGAUGAAAGAGUUCAGAGAAUAGGGUCAGGAAAGUCGGCAAUAGCAGCGGCAGCUACAUUUGGUCCUCCCGCGUAGAAAUCAACAUAUGAGGCCAAUAGAAACAGCAAGUUGGCAAGUGAUGCACGAGAUAAACACCCAUGUCCCAUACCUUUCUGACGUGUAGGAAUGGAUUACAAAGAAAGAACUUAUGCAUCCACUCUACUGCCAAAAGGACACACUACAAAAGAGGAUGCCUUAGAUAGAGAGGCUGGUCAUCCCUUGUUUACAUUGUUAAGUUUGCAGAGGCAGAACACAAAGGGAAGGAAAUGGUGAUGAAAGAAAAGUUGUUCAUUGCUUUGACAUGGUUUUUAGUAGUGAUCACCAUUGUCAUAUGUGCAAACGCAACAGCAGGCCCUCGUCUGCAGACAUAUGAGUACAUGGUUCAGCCCCAAGCAGGUUGUCACUGCUGCUUUAUCGGACGGGUACCAAACCUCCGUUGUGUAAAAGUGUGCUGUGAGGAUGGCUGUUGCUCAUCCAAUUGAAGAGUCGCUGCAGUUUCCAUAUGCAGGUGUGCACCUCCACUGUUACUUGGACGGAGAAGCUUUGGCUUUCUGAAAGUAAUUACGAGAAAUGUAAGGAUGAACCAUACAACCUUACAGAAACUAUUUACGAAUGUUAAGCUUUCCUAAAUAAGAAGGUUUCUUCAUGUUGUACUUUCAAA
This is a long non-coding RNA of Ricinus communis (castor bean), 945 nucleotides long. RefSeq lists it as uncharacterized. NCBI's taxonomy places the organism in Eukaryota, Viridiplantae, Streptophyta, Magnoliopsida, Malpighiales, Euphorbiaceae. The record is from RefSeq and is a predicted model, not a curated record. The transcript has 2 exons.